Molecule: ribosomal RNA, 2902 nt
Filed under: Klebsiella pneumoniae
Lineage: Bacteria; Pseudomonadati; Pseudomonadota; Gammaproteobacteria; Enterobacterales; Enterobacteriaceae
Description: 23S ribosomal RNA
Rfam family: Bacterial large subunit ribosomal RNA
Source: RNAcentral
GGUUAAGCGACUAAGCGUACACGGUGGAUGCCCUGGCAGUCAGAGGCGAUGAAGGACGUGCUAAUCUGCGAAAAGCGUCGGUAAGGUGAUAUGAACCGUUACAGCCGGCGAUGUCCGAAUGGGGAAACCCAGUGCAAUUCGUUGCACUAUCGUUAACUGAAUACAUAGGUUAACGAGGCGAACCGGGGGAACUGAAACAUCUAAGUACCCCGAGGAAAAGAAAUCAACCGAGAUUCCCCCAGUAGCGGCGAGCGAACGGGGAGCAGCCCAGAGUCUGAAUCAGCUUGUGUGUUAGUGGAACGGUCUGGAAAGUCCGACGGUACAGGGUGAUAGUCCCGUACACCAAAAUGCACAGGCUGUGAACUCGAAGAGUAGGGCGGGACACGUGGUAUCCUGUCUGAAUAUGGGGGGACCAUCCUCCAAGGCUAAAUACUCCUGACUGACCGAUAGUGAACCAGUACCGUGAGGGAAAGGCGAAAAGAACCCCGGCGAGGGGAGUGAAAAAGAACCUGAAACCGUGUACGUACAAGCAGUGGGAGCACCUUCGGGUGUGACUGCGUACCUUUUGUAUAAUGGGUCAGCGACUUAUAUUCUGUAGCAAGGUUAACCGUAUAGGGGAGCCGCAGGGAAACCGAGUCUUAACUGGGCGUUAAGUUGCAGGGUAUAGACCCGAAACCCGGUGAUCUAGCCAUGGGCAGGUUGAAGGUUGGGUAACACUAACUGGAGGACCGAACCGACUAAUGUUGAAAAAUUAGCGGAUGACUUGUGGCUGGGGGUGAAAGGCCAAUCAAACCGGGAGAUAGCUGGUUCUCCCCGAAAGCUAUUUAGGUAGCGCCUCGUGAACUCAUCUUCGGGGGUAGAGCACUGUUUCGGCUAGGGGGUCAUCCCGACUUACCAACCCGAUGCAAACUACGAAUACCGAAGAAUGUUAUCACGGGAGACACACGGCGGGUGCUAACGUCCGUCGUGAAGAGGGAAACAACCCAGACCGCCAGCUAAGGUCCCAAAGUCAUGGUUAAGUGGGAAACGAUGUGGGAAGGCACAGACAGCCAGGAUGUUGGCUUAGAAGCAGCCAUCAUUUAAAGAAAGCGUAAUAGCUCACUGGUCGAGUCGGCCUGCGCGGAAGAUGUAACGGGGCUAAACCAUGCACCGAAGCUGCGGCAGCGACACUAUGUGUUGUUGGGUAGGGGAGCGUUCUGUAAGCCUGCGAAGGUGACCUGUGAGGGUUGCUGGAGGUAUCAGAAGUGCGAAUGCUGACAUAAGUAACGAUAAAGCGGGUGAAAAGCCCGCUCGCCGGAAGACCAAGGGUUCCUGUCCAACGUUAAUCGGGGCAGGGUGAGUCGACCCCUAAGGCGAGGCCGAAAGGCGUAGUCGAUGGGAAACAGGUUAAUAUUCCUGUACUUGGUGUUACUGCGAAGGGGGGACGGAGAAGGCUAUGUUAGCCGGGCGACGGUUGUCCCGGUUUAAGCAUGUAGGCUGGUUAUCCAGGCAAAUCCGGAUAAUCAAGGCUGAGGUGUGAUGACGAGGCACUACGGUGCUGAAGUAACAAAUGCCCUGCUUCCAGGAAAAGCCUCUAAGCAUCAGGUAACAUCAAAUCGUACCCCAAACCGACACAGGUGGUCAGGUAGAGAAUACCAAGGCGCUUGAGAGAACUCGGGUGAAGGAACUAGGCAAAAUGGUGCCGUAACUUCGGGAGAAGGCACGCUGGUGUGUAGGUGAAGCCCCUGCGGGUGGAGCUGAGACCAGUCGAAGAUACCAGCUGGCUGCAACUGUUUAUUAAAAACACAGCACUGUGCAAACACGAAAGUGGACGUAUACGGUGUGACGCCUGCCCGGUGCCGGAAGGUUAAUUGAUGGGGUUAUCCGUAAGGAGAAGCUCUUGAUCGAAGCCCCGGUAAACGGCGGCCGUAACUAUAACGGUCCUAAGGUAGCGAAAUUCCUUGUCGGGUAAGUUCCGACCUGCACGAAUGGCGUAAUGAUGGCCAGGCUGUCUCCACCCGAGACUCAGUGAAAUUGAACUCGCUGUGAAGAUGCAGUGUACCCGCGGCAAGACGGAAAGACCCCGUGAACCUUUACUAUAGCUUGACACUGAACAUUGAGCCUUGAUGUGUAGGAUAGGUGGGAGGCUUUGAAGCGUGGACGCCAGUCUGCGUGGAGCCAACCUUGAAAUACCACCCUUUAAUGUUUGAUGUUCUAACGUUGGCCCCUGACCGGGGUUGCGGACAGUGUCUGGUGGGUAGUUUGACUGGGGCGGUCUCCUCCCAAAGCGUAACGGAGGAGCACGAAGGUUAGCUAAUCCUGGUCGGACAUCAGGAGGUUAGUGCAAUGGCAUAAGCUAGCUUGACUGCGAGCGUGACGGCGCGAGCAGGUGCGAAAGCAGGUCAUAGUGAUCCGGUGGUUCUGAAUGGAAGGGCCAUCGCUCAACGGAUAAAAGGUACUCCGGGGAUAACAGGCUGAUACCGCCCAAGAGUUCAUAUCGACGGCGGUGUUUGGCACCUCGAUGUCGGCUCAUCACAUCCUGGGGCUGAAGUAGGUCCCAAGGGUAUGGCUGUUCGCCAUUUAAAGUGGUACGCGAGCUGGGUUUAGAACGUCGUGAGACAGUUCGGUCCCUAUCUGCCGUGGGCGCUGGAGAAUUGAGGGGGGCUGCUCCUAGUACGAGAGGACCGGAGUGGACGCAUCACUGGUGUUCGGGUUGUCAUGCCAAUGGCACUGCCCGGUAGCUAAAUGCGGAAGAGAUAAGUGCUGAAAGCAUCUAAGCACGAAACUUGCCCCGAGAUGAGUUCUCCCUGAGACUUUAAGUCUCCUGAAGGAACGUUAAAGACGAUGACGUUGAUAGGCCGGGUGUGUAAGCGCAGCGAUGCGUUGAGCUAACCGGUACUAAUGAACCGUGAGGCUUAACCUU